GGAGCGGUAGUUCAGUUCGGUUAGAAUGCCGGCCUGUCACGCCGGAGGUCGCGGGUUCGAGUCCCGUCCGCUCCGCCA
Molecule: transfer RNA, 78 nt
Filed under: Thiotrichales bacterium
Lineage: Bacteria; Pseudomonadati; Pseudomonadota; Gammaproteobacteria; Thiotrichales
Description: tRNA-Asp
Rfam family: tRNA
About the family: Transfer RNA (tRNA) molecules are approximately 80 nucleotides in length. Their secondary structure includes four short double-helical elements and three loops (D, anti-codon, and T loops). Further hydrogen bonds mediate the characteristic L-shaped molecular structure. tRNAs have two regions of fundamental functional importance: the anti-codon, which is responsible for specific mRNA codon recognition, and the 3' end, to which the tRNAs corresponding amino acid is attached (by aminoacyl-tRNA synthetases). tRNAs cope with the degeneracy of the genetic code in two manners: having more than one tRNA (with a specific anti-codon) for a particular amino acid; and 'wobble' base-pairing, i.e. permitting non-standard base-pairing at the 3rd anti-codon position.
Source: RNAcentral